AAUUUGAAGUGCCUGACUGGGUGGCCGGGAGACGGAGUCUCGGGGUCGCGUGCACCUGGGCGGCCAGGGAGGCUCCAGUGCCCGGGAGAAAGGCAAGAAAACUGAGGCACAGAGAGAUUGUCACACAGCCAGUUUCUUUCAAAAUGAAGAUUCACGCAGUGAUUGUAACUGUCUUGAUGAGCCAGGUUGUAGUUUACAAAGUUUUAUUCCAGAAGGAAAAAAGCCACUUCACCUAGAAAUUUUGCAAACAAAUCAACUUUUACUCUGUGAGUAAUCCAGGGCCUAUCAAGACUACAUUUUAGUUGACUGCAAGGCCUCUGAGGCACGGGAAUUCACAGCUGAGUU
RNAcentral lists this long non-coding RNA (345 nucleotides) under Homo sapiens (human). RNAcentral's name for it is "non-protein coding lnc-UQCRFS1-3:10". Lineage: Eukaryota; Metazoa; Chordata; Mammalia; Primates; Hominidae. The record is from RNAcentral.